AUGAGUACAGGGAAUAGUAUAAAAUCCGCACAAUAAGACAAAAGAGUACAAAUCUAUACACUGAUUACCUUUCACUUCUGCUAUUGAAAGACAACUACAUUUGGGAAGAAUGAACAAAGGAUUAUUCCUCGGUGUAUUACUUGCCGUGUUCUGUGCAAUUGCACUGGCACAACCAGAGGCCUCUUCGGAUGCGGAAAUAGAGGACAGAGAGGCCCGGGGAUUGAAAGAGGUAGCGCAUUCUGCAAAAAAAUUUGCAAAAGGUUUUAUUUCAGGGCUUACAGGUUCAAAACGAGAGGCAAUGCUUCGCAGUGCUGAGCUAGAAGAUGAGAGGAGAUGAGUUUCAUGAAGAGGAAAGCAGCACUGAAGAACAACUAUUUGUCUGAAUAUUUCUAUGGACUGAAUUUAUUCUGAACAAUGCGGUGCUGAAGAAUAAGAAGAUCCUGCAGAUCCCCUAAUACAUAUAGUAUAACCACCUGCUCCUGUUAUGGGCAAAUAAAAUGAGCAUCAAAAAAUAAA
RNA transcript from Xenopus tropicalis (tropical clawed frog), 516 nucleotides. RefSeq lists it as uncharacterized. The transcript is spliced from 5 exons. The record is from RefSeq and is a predicted model, not a curated record. NCBI's taxonomy places the organism in Eukaryota, Metazoa, Chordata, Amphibia, Anura, Pipidae.